CCUACGGGAGGCAGCAGUGGGGAAUAUUGCACAAUGGGGGAAACCCUGAUGCAGCGACGCCGCGUGAGUGAAGAAGUAUUUCGGUAUGUAAAGCUCUAUUAGCAGGGAAGAAAAUGACGGUACCUGACUAAGAAGCACCGGCUCACUACGUGCCACCAGCCGGGGGAAUACGGCGGCGGCAAGCGUUAUCCGGAUUUACUGGGGGUAAAGGGAGCGUAGGCGGGAAGGUAAGCCAGAAGUUAAAGCCCGCGGGCCAACUGCGGGACUGCUGUUGAAACUAGCUAGCUAGAUUGCAGGAGAGGUAAGUGGAAUUCCUGGUGUAGCGGUGAAAUGCGUAGAUAUUAGGAAGAACACCAGUUGCGAAGGCAGCUUACUGGACAGUAAAUGACGCUGAGGCUCGAAAGCGUGGGUAGCAAACAGGAUUAGAUACCCGGGUAGUC
RNAcentral lists this ribosomal RNA (440 nucleotides) under uncultured bacterium. RNAcentral's name for it is "partial 16S ribosomal RNA". It matches the Rfam family "Bacterial small subunit ribosomal RNA", at positions 338 to 795 of the family's 1533-position model. The record is from RNAcentral.